This 301-nucleotide ribosomal RNA is filed under the name uncultured bacterium. RNAcentral's name for it is "partial 16S ribosomal RNA". It matches the Rfam family "Bacterial small subunit ribosomal RNA", at positions 509 to 807 of the family's 1533-position model. The record is from RNAcentral.
CAGCCGCCGCGGGAAUACGGAGGGUGCAAGCGUUAAUCGGAAUUACUGGGCGUAAAGCGUGCGUAGGCGGUUCGUUAAGUCUGUUGUGAAAGCCCCGGGCUCAACCUGGGAAUGGCAAUGGAUACUGGCGAGCUAGAGUGUGUCAGAGGAUGGUGGAAUUCCCGGUGUAGCGGUGAAAUGCGUAGAGAUCGGGAGGAGCAUCAGUGGCGAAGGCGGCCAUCUGGGACAACACUGACGCUGAGGCACGAAAGCGUGGGGAGCAAACAGGAUUAGAUACCCCCGUAGUCCCUGUCUCUUAUAC